Molecule: ribosomal RNA, 483 nt
Filed under: uncultured bacterium
Lineage: Bacteria
Description: partial 16S ribosomal RNA
Rfam family: Bacterial small subunit ribosomal RNA
Source: RNAcentral
GACGAACGCUGGCGGCGUGCUUAACACAUGCAAGUCGAACGCUGAAGCUCAGCUUUUGUUGGGUGGAUGAGUGGCGAACGGGUGAGUAACACGUGAGUAACCUGCCUCCUUCUUUGGGAUAACGCCCGGAAACGGGUGCUAAUACUGGAUAUUCACUGGUCUUCGCAUGGGGGUUGGUGGAAAGGGUUUUUCUGGUGGGGGAUGGGCUCGCGGCCUAUCAGCUUGUUGGUGGGGGGAUGGCCUACCAAGGCUUUGACGGGUAGCCGGCCUGAGAGGGUGACCGGUCACAUUGGGACUGAGAUACGGCCCAGACUCCUACGGGAGGCAGCAGUGGGGAAUAUUGCACAAUGGGCGCAAGCCUGAUGCAGCGACGCCGCGUGAGGGAUGGAGGCCUUCGGGUUGUGAACCUCUUUCGCUCAUGGUCAAGCCGCAACAAUGGUUGUGGUGAGGGUAGUGGGUAAAGAAGCGCCGGCUAACUACGUG